UCAAUACUUCCGUUUUUCUAAUAUAAUUUGCUACCAAACAUAGCCUUAGGUUUUUUCCUUCGCACGCCGCAACUCGUGCUCAGUCCAAUCGCGCCGCCGUAUUCCUCUUUUCCGGCUGCGCUGCUCCACCCUGUCCGCUGCUGUGCUUGGCUGCCGCAUUCCCUUGCGUGUUGUUUCUCUGCUGCCGCUGCUCUACGUCUCUACCUGAUCUGCGAGAGAUCGAUCUCGAUCUGACUCCAUCGUCGUCUGCGAGAGAUCGGGUUCGAUCUGGACAAGGACUAGUGGGAGCAACAUCUCUGUUCCCGCCCGGAUUCCGCCCAAACCGUCGCUCCCCGCCGGUCGUCUACAGCUGCCGCCGCCGGCCGCCAGCCCUGUCCGCUUGCCCACUCCGCGCCUCUGCUCUCAAGCUCGGCCGCCGCUGCGCAUCCGCCCCGCCCGUCGCCGCGGCCCGGUUUGAUGACAGUAAGUACGACGGCGUCUCUUUCCACCUCAUCAGCACAACCACCCUUGAGGCCCCGAUCCCAGCAGCCGACUGGGGAUUGCCUACCGUGUCAUGCUCGAGGCCAGACCCAUCAUCAUUAUCAUGAAGUGGUUGCACGACAUUGGGGUAUGUGCCGCACGAGGACUUCCCGCACCAUGCAGCUGCUAGCCAAGCACUGGCACAGAAACAUGGCAGGGGUCGAAGCCGUGCUGCCACUCCAAGGAGGAGAACCUGGUCGUCUACAAGCAUGUCCCCAGCUGCAGCCUCUUCCAAAUCCUACACGGUUGAUAAAAUUUCCUAUUCAGCUCAAAGAGGUCCUGCGGUACAGCCUGGGAAAUAAAGGCGAGUCAAUUUGCUAGGCAAGUGCAAAAACCCAGAAGCUUAUGAUUUUGCUGCUCUUGAGAUACACAUCAAUAUUGCAAUCAACUUUGACUGUGCAACUAUGUAGACAAGGGACUGCAUUCUAUAUCGAAGGUUCGAAAAUGAAGUUGCUUGCAUUGAUCCGCAAUAGAUCUUGACUUUGGCGAAAAAUGAGGUAUAUUGAGCUUAAUGACGUACGCAUGGUUACAUACAGAUAGAAGAACCGGUUGUACUGGUUCUACUUCUGGUUCAUGUGUAAUGAAUCUUCAGUAUAUAUAGUUCAUUCUCUACACCCGUAGAGUCGAAUGUAUAUGUUGGUGAGCUCUGUAAUCCAAACGCUCAUAAGACAGUAGAUGCUAUUUUGUACUCUUACCAGGUAAGUUGUUUUUAACAUUUUAUAAAGCAGCUUGUGACAUUUCUAAAAAGGUCAUGUAGGCGCAUGGAGGGCUCCUUUUUGGUCAUUUUCUACUCAACUGUAGAGCUUUAUUGCAGUAUCAUAAUUUUUCAUAUGUCGGUAAGGUGCAUGUUUUUUCAGAUUAAUAAGUAAAGUGCAUGUCAGUACUUCCAAAGGGAAAUUUUUCAAAAAAAUAGUUCUUUCCUGAUGGUAAUCAUUUUCAUACAAACUACUAUGGUUUGCUUGUCCUUUUGGUUUUGCAUCGUGGCCAUUCGAGAACCACUAUAGAAUAAUGAAUGUUCUUGAAUUCUUACUAUUUUGUUAUGAUUAUGAAUCUUUAAUUAUUGAAUUCCUUUAUGUUAUAGUAAGCUUGAGAUGAAACAUUUGGGGGAGAUACCGUUUUGAUAUACAGCUUUACUUGAUUUUUAAUCCAUGUGGUAAUGUCAUUAGCAUUCAUGAAAUCUUACGCAUACCAUACACUGUUGUCUCACAACAAUUGAUUAGUUUCUAAUCCCAUUGUUACAUUGUGAGCAUGUAUGGAGCCUUCUUAGGGCACUUGCAAUGUGGACCGUCGGAUUGAGUGUCCAAAAGACUUCCAGUCGUCGGAUUUUUUGAUGGAUCAAUCCUGGCCGUUGGAUCGAACUGAUGUGACUAGCAAUGAAUAGUGCCAGAAAUUUUGCCCCCGUUCUAUCACCCUCACUCUCCAUGACAGGCGGGGCCAAGUCAGAGUGGGCCGUAGUUGUCAGCGACAGUGGAGGCGGGCGUAACCAGUGCUCGUUCUUAUGGGCGCGGGAGGUGUGCCACCGCCUGUAAUUUUCGUUGGCCGCCGAGGGUAGUUUAGGGAUUUCACAAGGUUGGCCUUGUAUGGCUUGCCGUGGAUGGCUAGGGGACAGACAAGGGUGAGGAUGGUCUUCCCCGCCCCACGUAUUCUUCUCUCAGUCGCCGACUUGCUUCAGCCUCCUCCUCCUGUCCCUCGCACGUGUCCCGCGCGAGUCGAGGCGGCGAGAUCCAGCCAUGGCGGCCGGGAUCCAGCUCGCUGGCGCGAUCCUCUGCCGUUCCUGAGCCCGACAACGAAGGAGGUGGGCGGCCAUCCAUCCCCACGUAGUGGUGGACGAAGGAGGUGCACGUAUACGGCGAAGUCGACGUGCCUCCCCCGGAUCCGUGCUAGCCGACGGCGACGGCUGUGCAGCGAGGGCGCCGUCGAUCUCUCCUCAUCUACAGCCUGGAUGUGAUGGCCAUUGCCAGGUUUGAAGGUGGCCGAGUUCAUUCGCUUUGGAUGACAAAAAAAAAUGAGAACGAAAAUAUGCUCCCAAACAAUGCUUCAGAUCCUAAACAGGUGCAGGUUGUUCAAGCAAUUUACGAUGUCGGGGAAGCAAGAACUCAUGGUUUACGGAGGUCUAUAUUUGAGAGGUUUGACCGUGACCGAAGUGGUAAAAUUGAUAAAUCAGAGACGGGCGCUGCUCUUCUCAGUAUGGGUAAUUCAGUUUCUCCAACUGUGCUAGACUCACUCGUGUCUAAAUUCGACAGGAUUGGGACAUGAGCAAAGCAGUCGAAUAUGACAACUUUAUUGAGUGUUGCCUUACAGUAAAGGUAUUUUCCAUCAUUAUACUACAGAAAGAAAUAGAUUAUAGUUUGGUGCGCUAUUGCUAUGUCCGCCUCACCUUUCUACUCGGCAGCAUAUUGCCCCGGCCUGCGGGCACUGUCAGCUUGAUGGAUGAUGAUGAUUUAAUAGUCAAGGGGCUUCCACAGCUCUCUGCCAUCUGUGUUACCAUUAGCAGAAGGUAUAUGCUCGAAGAAGCUAUCAAGCGGAUCGGUGGUACAAUUCAUGCAUUCAAACUUACUGAUGAUGAUGACACCACAGGAAUGGCAUCAGUGAAAAUCAAUCUCCAGCCCCACAGCAAAAGCAUGUUGCCAACCCAAUAGGUGUUCUUUGGAGAAUCAACUCAGCUUGCCGGCGAUGCUAUUGAAUCAACAAGUUCUGUUGCUUUGGCCUAUCUGGUGACCAUGGGCAUAGUUACAAUAGACGAUUCCAACUCGGCGGAUUGGUCAUCAUAUGAUUGUGCAGAAUCCUUUCAGAAUCAGCUCGCCUCCUUGACCGCGACAAAAAAGGGCCUCAUUCAGAGAGCGGCGAUGGUAGCAGUCCAGCACCUAAAUGUGUCAACGAAUUAGAGAAUGGCCUCAACGACACUGCCGGCUCGCUGCCACCAAACGAAGAAACAUCAAACAAUGAAACGGAUCACAGGCCCAGCAAGAAAACAAAGUAUGACAUGGAAAGCUUGGCUCAUGAACAAAGCCGGAAGGCUCGCACUAGUCAAGUCGGUGCUGAGUGCUAUCCCAGUCCACCAGCUGCUCGCCUUUGCCCCGCCCAAGAAGACACUAAAGCAGCUCGAGAAAAUCCAGCGGGGCUUUUUGUGGGCCGGCCGCGCAGUCGCCAACGGAGGAAACUGUCAUGUCAAUUGGUGCCGCGCCUGCCGCCCCGUGGAAUAUGGUGGCCUUGGGAUCCGAGACCUGGAGCGCGCAGGCCUUGCACUACGGCUGCGAUGGAUGUGGCUCGCCCGCACGGACACGGACCGCGCGUGGCAAGGCCUUGAUCUCCAGUUCUCCAAGGAGGAGCGUGCACUGUUCUUUGCAUCCACUACUAUGAUGCUCGGCGAUGGCCGGACAACACUCUUCUAGGACGACCGAUGGAUCAGCGGCCAAUCUGUCCGCGAGAUUGCCCCCUGCUAUACCAAUGCAUACCCAAGCAGCGACGCAAGACACGAACAGUGGCCGAUGGACUCAACGGGAACACUUGGGCCCGAGACAUCCAAGGAACCAUCGGGAUACACGAGAUUGGCCAAUACCUGAUGCUAUGGCAGGCGAUACAGCACUUCACCCUAUCGGAAGAAACUGACCGACUGCUUUGGAGAUGGACAACAAGCGCUACAUAUUCGACCCAAUCUUGCUAUGCAGCCACCUUCCAGGGAUCUACAUGCCGCCACUCGUGGAAGCUGAUUUGGAAGAGUUGGGCGCCACCCCGCGUCAAAUUCUUCCACUGGCUUGCCUACCAGGACCGAUGUUGGACGGCGACAAGACUUGCCAGCCGCGGCCUGUAGCACCACCCUAGGUGCCUCCUCUGCGAUCAAGACCCGGAGACCAUCCAACACCUGCUACUGACAUGCCCGUUUGCUAAGCAGAUCUGGCACCGCACCCUAGACUGGACGCACAUCCCUGCCCAAACGCCGGCCAAUGACACCACCUUGAUGGACUGGUGGCUGCGGGCGAAGGCGCAAACCCCUCCAACGCUGCACAAAGCUCUGCAAUCGAUCACACUGCUCGUUCCCUGGAUGAUCUGGAAACAGAGGAACGAGUGCGUCUUUGACAAUGCAAGACCAUCGAUAGAUGCGCUAGUUGAUAGGAUUAAAGACGAGGCCAAUUGUUGGGCACAAGCUGGGGCAUAGGGGCUGCAAGUAGUCUUGCCCGCCUCCUGGGAUGUCCACUGAUCGGAGGAGCUAGGACCCUGUAAAUAUAACCUCCUAGGAGGCAUGUACUUUCCCACCUUUUCAAUGCAAUGAAACGCAAAAUCGCUUUGCGUUUUCUCGAAAAA
RNA transcript from Triticum aestivum (bread wheat), 4821 nucleotides. RefSeq lists it as uncharacterized. Lineage: Eukaryota; Viridiplantae; Streptophyta; Magnoliopsida; Poales; Poaceae. The record is from RefSeq and is a predicted model, not a curated record. The transcript is spliced from 12 exons.